RNAcentral lists this transfer RNA (84 nucleotides) under Nanobdellota archaeon. RNAcentral describes it as "tRNA-Leu". It matches the Rfam family "tRNA". From Rfam's summary of the family: Transfer RNA (tRNA) molecules are approximately 80 nucleotides in length. The record is from RNAcentral. Lineage: Archaea; Nanobdellati; Nanobdellota.
GCGAGGGUGGGAGAGUGGUCAAAUCCGCUAGCUUGAGGGGCUAGUCCCUUAGUGGGUACGCGUGUUCAAGUCACGUCCCUCGCA